Molecule: ribosomal RNA, 265 nt
Filed under: uncultured prokaryote
Description: partial 16S ribosomal RNA
Rfam family: Bacterial small subunit ribosomal RNA
Source: RNAcentral
UACGUAGGUGGCGAGCGUUGUCCGGAUUUACUGGGCGUAAAGGGAGCGUAGGCGGACUUUUAAGUGAGGUGUGAAAUACCCGGGCUCAACUUGGGUGCUGCAUUUCAAACUGGAAGUCUAGAGUGCAGGAGAGGAGAAUGGAAUUCCUAGUGUAGCGGUGAAAUGCGUAGAGAUUAGGAAGAACACCAGUGGCGAAGGCGAUUCUCUGGACUGUAACUGACGCUGAGGCUCGAAAGCGUGGGGAGCAAACAGGAUUAGAUACCCG